UACAGAGGGUGCGAGCGUUACUCGGAAUUACUGGGCGUAAAGCGCGCGUAGGCGGCUUUGCAAGUCGAGUGUGAAAUCCCCAGGCUUAACCUGGGAACUGCAUUCGAGACUGCAUGGCUAGAGUAUGGGAGAGGGAAGUGGAAUUUCAGGUGUAGCGGUGAAAUGCGUAGAUAUCUGAAGGAACAUCAGUGGCGAAAGCGACUUCCUGGACCAAUACUGACGCUCAUGUGCGAAAGCGUGGGGAGCAAACAGG
RNAcentral lists this ribosomal RNA (253 nucleotides) under uncultured bacterium. Its description in RNAcentral is "partial 16S ribosomal RNA". It matches the Rfam family "Bacterial small subunit ribosomal RNA", at positions 524 to 776 of the family's 1533-position model. The record is from RNAcentral.